CUUGGCAACAUACAAUGGAGGAAGUUUACAAAGAACUGACCUGCCCCCUUUCACCUGCCGCUGUGCCAGAAAAUCCACACAAGCUGCACAAGGUUUACAGGAAGUGGAGUCACUUGUUACAUGGAGGCAGACUCGCUGCCAGUGAAGUGAUUUUGUUUUCACUGAUACCGACAAAACAAGGACUUAAUAGUCAUGGAUACCAUCUCUGCUGCCCUGGCUUGUUGCCUUCUGGCUAUUUCUAUCGCUGUGGUACAAGCGGAGAAUAACACUGCUAUCAGUCCUGCAUUACCAACCCCUAGCUCAAACCCGACAAACGUAACCACAGCAGCACCUUCACCUGCUGAGCGUGUAACUGUUAUCUCAAAUUUGACUGAAAACACAACUGCUUUUACCAGCACAGCCCCAGACAGUGAGACAUACACAGGAAUUACAGCAGCGACAAAUGAGAGCACAGGUCACCCGUCUCAGCCAACCACCAUCAUGACUCCUCUAACAAACACCACAUCACAAACAACCACAACACCUGGCAAUCACACAACAACAUCCACUGCACAGACAGCAACACAGCCCCCAGCAGGUAACACGAGCACGCCGGCUGCUACAGUCAUUGCAACAGAUCCAUCACACACCGUCAUCACAACGUCAGGUUCAAUGAACAGAACCACACAGGGGUUGCGACUGAACAUUUCAGAAACAAAUAUGACUGUUAUUUUCAGCGUUGUACUCGGAGUAUUCACUCUAGCAUUGGUUGGGUUAAUGUUUCACAGAUGCCAACAUAAAAUCCAAUACUCGCAUCAACCUCUCAAUAACACGGCAGAUGCAUUUGUGGCAGACGAUGACACACUGGUGAUUUCUGGAGGACUCUAUGAUGGCCACCCGAUAUACGACAACGUUCCGACAGACCCAGCGGCAGACCAAUCUCAAUUCCGUCUCCAGUUCCUUCAUUGAGGACAGAGUUCCUGCAGUUUUGGAGCUCGAAAGGAUGGACAAAACAAGUUUCCUCUUCCACAAAUUAGUAGUUUCAGGACUGAUAUUUCACGAGAGGAGAGCGAAACAAAGAUCGGCAGAACAUUGAAACAAGGACAAUGCUGAUUGAUUGAACAUCAAUUUUACUCAUUAAGCUGUCAAUACUAGAACACAGAAAUACUUGAAAUAUAUUACGAUAGCAACACAUAACUACAUUUCUCACAACAAUAUAAACGUGGGCAGAUCAAAUUGAUUUCAUGUGGACCCCAGUAAAGAUAAGUCUUUCCAUUCAGCAGAACUACAACCGAGAGCGGAUUCUGCGCUCAUUUAAAUCUACGUUAACAAACAAACUUGCUUGAACGGCUGGAACACUUUUCCAUAACAACACUGUUUAACUGAUCAACCUAUCAAAUCUUUGAUGCAUGUAAAGAAAUAAAUUGGCCUUUUGUUAUUAAUUAUAGAGUCUGCAAAAUUCUGAACAAUGCUAUGAAUGAAUGAUAACAAAAUUGAAACAUCAAAACCGGACUAACACGUGUAGGGUUGUCUGUCCUCUACUACUUAUGCAAAGGUCUUGUCAUUGGAUGUCUUCUUCUUUUUGUCCCAGCCUGUAACAGCCGUCCAGCCAGCAUCUCGCAUCCUUUUCAUUGCUGCUAACUUCAGAGAGUUCCCCGGUGAUUUUUGAGUGAGGGGGCUCUGAAUCUGAAAAAACGUUGAUCCAUUUUUUUAUGAAUAAAAAUGACAUGGGA
Molecule: long non-coding RNA, 1712 nt
Organism: Eleginops maclovinus (Patagonian blennie)
Lineage: Eukaryota; Metazoa; Chordata; Actinopteri; Perciformes; Eleginopidae
Exons: 4
Source: RefSeq, a predicted model, not a curated record